This is a long non-coding RNA of Cyprinus carpio (common carp), 455 nucleotides long. RefSeq lists it as uncharacterized. The transcript is spliced from 2 exons. The record is from RefSeq and is a predicted model, not a curated record. NCBI's taxonomy places the organism in Eukaryota, Metazoa, Chordata, Actinopteri, Cypriniformes, Cyprinidae.
GCUAUCUGUCCUUACGGAGCCUACACCGUUCAGAGAACCUCGCAGCCUUCCAUGGAGGCAUUGGCGGCAGCUCCAAUGGAGGAGGCAGUGGCACCAGCAGCAUGAAAAGAAAUGACCCCUCUGUUCAUCUGUGGGCGGAGGAAGAGGCGUCCCGACGGUUUGGCCCAGCUCUUACCCCUGAACAUAGCCUAACUGACACAGAGAUGCAGGACUAAUCACAAACUAACAUCACCUCCCCCUACUGGACUGAGCGGCCAAGAGCAGGCGAUGGAAAAAGAGGAAGAGGACUGUGACUAUGAAGGACAUUAUCUUAUCAAAAGCAUUAUUUAACAUAAAAGACUUCGAGAGAGAGAGAAAAGACUAAUAAAAUGGACAGCUCAGAUGGUUUCAUACACAAGCUUUCUUGCUGGAUGAAGGAAAGAAGAUCUAUUGAUGUUUAGUGAGCUGGAAACAAG